RNAcentral lists this ribosomal RNA (478 nucleotides) under uncultured bacterium. RNAcentral's name for it is "partial 16S ribosomal RNA". It matches the Rfam family "Bacterial small subunit ribosomal RNA", at positions 28 to 507 of the family's 1533-position model. The record is from RNAcentral.
GACGAACGCUGGCGGCGUGCUUAACACAUGCAAGUCGAACGGGAUUUAGUAGACAGAAGCCUCGGCUAAAGAUUACUAAUGAGAGUGGCGAACGGGUGAGUAACGCGUGAGCAACCUGCCUAUUACAGUGGGAUAGCCUCGGGACACCGGGAUUAAUACCGCAUCAAAUCGUAGAAACACAUGUUUUAACGGUCAAAGAUUUAUCGGUCAUAGAUGGGCUCGCGUCUGAUUAGCUAGUUGGUGAGAUAACAGCCCACCAAGGCGACGAUCAGUAGCCGGUCGGAGAGGAUGAACGGCCACAUUGGAAAUGAGACACGGUCCAAACUCCUACGGGAAGGAGCAGUGGGGAAUAUUGCACAAGGGGGGAAAACCUGAUGCAGCGACGCCGCGUGAAAGAAGAAGGUAUUCGUAUCGUAAAGUUCUGUCCUAUGGGAAGAUAAUGACAGUACCAUAGAAGAAAGCUCCGGCUAAAUACGUG